GGAGAGAUGGCCGAGUGGCUGAAGGCGCACGCUUGGAAAGCGCGUAUACAUGAAAAUGUAUCAUGGUUCGAAUCCCAUUUUCUCCG
Molecule: transfer RNA, 86 nt
Filed under: Borrelia miyamotoi
Lineage: Bacteria; Pseudomonadati; Spirochaetota; Spirochaetia; Spirochaetales; Borreliaceae
Also listed under: 1 other name
Description: tRNA-Ser (GGA) (tRNA-Ser-GGA-1-1)
Rfam family: tRNA
About the family: Transfer RNA (tRNA) molecules are approximately 80 nucleotides in length.
Source: RNAcentral